UGAGUACUCCCUCCGUCCGAAAAAUUUUGUCAUCAAAAUAAAUAAAAAUAUAUGUGUCUAGAACUAAUAUACAUCUAGAUACAUCCCUUUUUAUUCAUUUUGAUAACAAGUAUUUCCGGGCGGAGGUAGUACUAU
Molecule: non-coding RNA, 135 nt
Organism: Triticum aestivum (bread wheat)
Lineage: Eukaryota; Viridiplantae; Streptophyta; Magnoliopsida; Poales; Poaceae
Source: Rfam